AGUUGCCUCACAAUGGGCAAAGAUAUCUUGUCAGUUGUGGUGUUCUUAUGUCAGUCAGGAGCAGAGCAGAUGGCAAUCCUUUGUUCAUCCCAGAUUGAUGUCUGAUUUGGUGGCCAAAUCUGUUUUAUGCCUGGGACUCAUAA
Arvicanthis niloticus (Nile rat) is the source of this 143-nucleotide small nucleolar RNA. RefSeq annotates it as small nucleolar RNA SNORA48. The record is from RefSeq and is a predicted model, not a curated record. NCBI's taxonomy places the organism in Eukaryota, Metazoa, Chordata, Mammalia, Rodentia, Muridae.